This 402-nucleotide ribosomal RNA is filed under the name uncultured Clostridium sp. RNAcentral's name for it is "bacterial SSU rRNA". It matches the Rfam family "Bacterial small subunit ribosomal RNA", at positions 355 to 774 of the family's 1533-position model. RNAcentral also lists the same sequence under 3 other names. Lineage: Bacteria; Bacillati; Bacillota; Clostridia; Eubacteriales; Clostridiaceae. The record is from RNAcentral.
UGGGGAAUAUUGCGCAAUGGGGGAAACCCUGACGCAGCAACGCCGCGUGAAUGAUGAAGGCCUUAGGGUUGUAAAGUUCUGUCUUCUGGGACGAUAAUGACGGUACCAGAGGAGGAAGCCACGGCUAACUACGUGCCAGCAGCCGCGGUAAUACGUAGGUGGCAAGCGUUGUCCGGAUUUACUGGGCGUAAAGGAUGCGUAGGCGGAUAUUUAAGUCAGAUGUGAAAUACCCGGGCUCAACUUGGGUGCUGCAUUUGAAACUGGAUAUCUAGAGUGCGGGAGAGGUAAGUGGAAUUCCUAGUGUAGCGGUGAAAUGCGUAGAGAUUAGGAAGAACACCAGUGGCGAAGGCGACUUACUGGACCGUAACUGACGCUGAGGCAUGAAAGCGUGGGGAGCAAACA